GCCUGGUGUGCCAGCCUCGCAGACUGUGAGAACCCACGGUGAUGAGGCAGAUUCCGCAUUUGUGUGUUGUUUUUUUGCUCUGAGGAAUUGACAUCGCUUUGGAUUGGGACUGGGGCGCUUUGAUGUGGUGAUGUCAAUUUUGGAGUCUUCGUUCGAUUUGUGGCGAAGGUUUAGGGUUCACGAGGGAUUACAAGUCUCGUGUUUGGCAUUUGGAGAAUGUUGGUGAAAGCAACUGGGAAGUGAUCGGAGGGAAGGAGGCAAGAUGGAUGCUCUUAGACGCGCCGAUGCGCACAUUGCAGCUGCCACACAUCCCCGCAGGAACCUCAGAUGGCGAUUGAAUCGCUACAACCCUAUGCACCGAUGGAACAUGAAGAAGCACCACGUAACGCACCCCGUCACGUAUCAGAAGCAGAAACUUAGGAGGAAGAUCAAUUACAUAAAUCCUCUUUUCUACCUGCGGCGCAUCAAGAACAACUUGUGUGGAAUUGUAGGCCAUCACAAACAUUGAGCAUCACAAAAGCUGCCGUGGUCUGGUCUUAGCCGCACCUCUGCCUCGUCCAAUCCACAGUUUGCAGGGCUGCAUUUUUCGGUUAUAUGCCAUUCGAGUAGUCCUGAAAUCAUUCAUACUGCGGAGAUUUGUGAUUAUGUUUUAGUUUUUUCUUUUUUUUUUAAAUAAAGUGUUAACUGUAAAGAAAAGAUUAUAGUUUCUAUCAUGUAGCUGCGAGUUUAUUCUUUGCAGCUGGAUUCUUCACUUGUUGAAAGGCAAGUUAUUUCUUCCUAGAGCAGGCUGCCGCUCGCAUCUUGCUUGACCUCCAGUAAUUAAGAUUGCAAGCAGAUUUGGUACUCUGAUUUUGUAUUUAAAUCCUUUGAAAAAGAAAUUGAAGAUUUUGUGUAUAAGAUUCUUCGA
Long non-coding RNA from Physcomitrium patens, 907 nucleotides. RefSeq lists it as uncharacterized. The record is from RefSeq and is a predicted model, not a curated record. NCBI's taxonomy places the organism in Eukaryota, Viridiplantae, Streptophyta, Bryopsida, Funariales, Funariaceae.